AUACGUAGGGGGCGAGCGUUGUCCGGAAUGAUUGGGCGUAAAGGGCGCGUAGGCGGCUUUGCAAGUCAGUAGUGGAAGUCCAUUUUUCAAGGAUGGAAGUGCUACAGAAACUGCGGAGCUUGAGUGCAGGAGAGGUUAUCGGAAUUCCCGGUGUAGCGGUGAAAUGCGUAGAGGUCGGGAGGAACACCAGUGGCGAAGGCGGGUAACUGGACUGCAACUGACGCUGAGGCGCGAAAGCGUGGGGAGCAAACAGGAUUAGAUACCCUGGUAGUCCACGCUGUAAACGAUGAAUACUAGGUGUGGGGGGACUGACCCCCUCCGUGCCGCAGUUAACACAAUAAGUAUUCCACCUGGGGAGUACGAUCGCAAGAUUGAAACUCAAAGGAAUUGACGGGG
RNAcentral lists this ribosomal RNA (396 nucleotides) under uncultured bacterium. RNAcentral's name for it is "partial 16S ribosomal RNA". It matches the Rfam family "Bacterial small subunit ribosomal RNA", at positions 523 to 918 of the family's 1533-position model. The record is from RNAcentral.